UACGAAGGGGGCUAGCGUUGCUCGGAAUUACUGGGCGUAAAGCGCACGUAGGCGGAUUGUUAAGUCGGGGGUGAAAUCCCGGAGCUCAACUCCGGAACUGCCUUCGAUACUGACGAUCUUGAGUCCGGGAGAGGUGAGUGGAACUGCGAGUGUAGAGGUGAAAUUCGUAGAUAUUCGCAAGAACACCGGUGGCGAAGGCGGUCUGCUGGGCCAAGACUGACGCUGAGGCGCGACAGCGUGGGGAGCAAACAGG
Molecule: ribosomal RNA, 253 nt
Filed under: uncultured bacterium
Lineage: Bacteria
Description: partial 16S ribosomal RNA
Rfam family: Bacterial small subunit ribosomal RNA
Source: RNAcentral